Molecule: long non-coding RNA, 3254 nt
Organism: Lolium rigidum
Lineage: Eukaryota; Viridiplantae; Streptophyta; Magnoliopsida; Poales; Poaceae
Exons: 3
Source: RefSeq, a predicted model, not a curated record
UGGCACCACGGUUCACGGCUGCCCCGGACUCCGAGCGUCCAUCUGCUGGGUCUCCAGCCUCCGACGAGCCUCCUACCCCUCACUCUCCGCGUGUAUCCCCUGCUUCUCCCAUUCGACAGGGUUCUUUUGAAGGAUCACCUCUUCUUCAGGGAAACUACUGAUACCAUAGGUGUAACAAUAAAGUUGCACGGCAUGUGAUUUUUGGCCUUCCGCCCUGGCGCCACCUCCCCUUCGCUGAGCGCGGCGUCUGCGGCAGUGGAAGGAGGAUGAUGAAGGGAACGGGGCUUGCCAUAGAGCCGACGCAGCAAAGGUCAUUGCCUCUCACUUGGUGUUCUCCACCAAAUUCGUCGGCAAGGGCGCUCAGAUCUGCAGGUUGAAUCCUUCUUCCUUCAUGUCUAUGUGGUUGGCAUUCAUGGUGCCUUUUUUUUCCAUUGCUUUUUUUGCUGUCGAGGAUCCAGGUCCAGGUCCAGGAGUAUUGUAGACUUCAGAAAAUAGAAUUUUGUUGCGUUGCUAGGUUUGUUAGGUACCUUCUGGUUUUGUAGGUUUGUUGUGUUGCUAGGUUUGCUAGGUACCCUCCUGUUUGUUUAUGGGUCUCAUUGGUGAGAUUGUCCUGCCCUUUGUCUUAUCUCGCAAAGUUCAUGGAAAGAUGGAUCUGCUUCUAAGCUUCUAAGAUACAGACCUUUUUUUUUGGAUGUUUCCUAAUGUGCUUAUCUGGUCAACAUAGAACACUUUUUUUGUAUGCCUCCCAAAUUCUUACAGCAGAAGGAUUCCUUGUCCAAGCACUAACCUAGCUUUCCAAUAUUAUGGAUAACAACAAAUAUCCAUCAUGUAAUUGCCCCUGUUAAUCUUAAUCCAUGUGUAAUUAGAACUUAUAUGAAGAUUGUGUUAUCAAGUCAGAAGUUAGGCCUGUACUCGUGUUUUUUAGUAAAGGGGAAAACUUUAUCCUCAAAUUUGUAUCACAGACCUGAAACAUUCAAUGAAAUCUCUGAAUUACAUUUUUUUUUUCUCGAACACAUGCCUAAGCAUGCACAAUUGUAUGUUAGAAGAAGCCGUCGAGAAGAUGGGAGCAUUACAUGGAGGUAGCAGAGCUACAAAAGAAGUUCAAAGAAUAGGAAAAAACUAUACAAGGCUAACUUUGUUAGGCCUGCAGAUCCUGGAGUGUUGUGUCAGCGGGAGGUCUAGCAUGUAAGGGAAGCCGGCGUAGUGCCCUGGCACCAGCCAACAUCCACAAUUUGGCUUCCUCAAGGAUUGACAGAACCAAGUUAUGCCUGCUUGGUGUUAUGUUUUUGAAGAUUGCAUAGUGAUCGUUGGUGAAAUUUCUAAUUUUGCUGCUUAUGCAUUUGCUCCUGCUAUUCUUGUAACUCACCUUGAAACACUCAGUAUAAUCAUCAGGUACAGUCAUAACAAUUCUGUAGAAAACUAUUAAUAAUGUGUUUUAGCUUGCUUCUGAUUAAACUGCAAUCACAGUCCAUUCUAAAUGUCUGAAGUACUGCACUACCCAUUUCAUUCUACAGGAGAAACUGCACACCUUUGGUAUACCUGGGUGUUUUCUUUGUGUACUUGGAUUGAUCACAAUUGACUCCAUGCUCCACUGGAGCGUGAUAUUGAUUCCGCAAGGGAAGUUUGGGAUCUUGCAACUGAGCCAGCUUUUGUUUCAUAUGUGGCUAUAGUAGUGGCAGCAGCAUUGGUGCUUAUAUAUUUUGUUGUCUCUCAACAUGGGCAAACAAACAUCAUGGUGUACGUCAGAGUCUGUUCUCUUCUAGGACCACUCACCAUAUGCUUUUCCCCAAAUAUGGCUUGGCUCUAGCAUAAAUCAUCUUGAUAAUUCUGUAUGGGGUUUUCAUUUAACCCCAUUGUCCAUGUGACAGUGAGGAUCUAACAGGAUAUGAGUGUAAAUGCUCUCAACAAUAUGCUUAUCUCUUUUUGUUUGUUUGAAUAUGUGGCUUGAAAAGGAGUACAUGAAAUUUGUAGCUUGAAAAGGAGUACAUUGUCCAAGAGACAGCCCUGGUUAAGCUUACGUCUCAGAAGAAGAUAGAUGAUGCUCAAUCUCUUGAGGCUAAUUUGGAGAACUCCUUGGAAGUCGAGGGAAGCUCUGUCACAGCAACAUUAAUAAAAAUAGGAAAAUCUAUCAUAGAUAGGUUAGAAAAGUUAAUUAUGUUAUUUUUUACUGAACAAAAAAAAUGCUGAUUCAACCAUGAUUUUUAGUGCCAAUGCUAACAUGAACUACGUGAAUUGCCAAAAAAAGGAGAUUCAAUCUAGAAGGAUAAAAUAGAUGCAUAUGCUUAUUUUCUUUGUGUGUUUACGGACAUCUAAUUUCAUAUUAUUGACCAUUACUAAUACUGCUCACAUUUCUAUUUGUUCUGCAUUAGUAGCAUUUUGAUGGCUUCUUUUCGUGUAACAGAUAUACCAGAAAAAGCAAGCCGGUUAGAAUAUUUGUCCAUCAAACGAUUCAAGGUAUCUUACACUAUUUUCUUCCUAGAAUUGGGUGCUGCUGAAGUGCUCACUUCAUGCAUGUUUCAGUGAUUCAUUUGUCCAGUUUGAAGUUUACCAAUAAGAAUUGAUAGCAAAAUCAUUCUUGGAGCAAAGCAAUUUCUUGGGUUACAGUAUUUCUUAGUAUUAGUUUGAGGGCACAUGCAGAUACAGGCUAUGCAGUCCUGCAGCAAUGUUUUACAGUUGCAGGCUCGCGUGGGCUGUGCCCGAGCAGAUCCCGUAAACUGAAACCUUAAAACAGAACGGAUGGGCAGAUCCCGUAAACUGAAACCGUAAAACAGAAUGGCCGCAGCCCGCACGAUCCUGUAAAUUGCGUUUUCGCGGUCUGUAAACGAGUUUUUAAGGGCUCUAAGAUCUUGCGGAAUGACGUUUCUUUUGUUCCUGUCUCGAGCUCUAUAGAUUUGGUUGAAAUCAUUGAGGGCUAGCCGCUUCUCUCCGGUUGCAGGCUUUUGGGUGAGGAAGCUCGGCAUAAAAAAAUCAUAUUUUCUGAGUAGGCAGUUGGUCCGUAGACCGAAGUGAUCUUGAAAGUCUCCUGUGUGCGCCGGAUUAGAAUUGUGGCGGAGAGACAAAACUCGGAGGUGAUAAUAUCGGAAACUUGCAUGGCCUCGCCAUCCCACAACAUAAGGACACCUCUCUAGUGCCCAUUGCCGUCCGCUAAGCGAAGUUCUUUAGCCAGAGGCCUCCAAAUUAGCACGCAGUGUAUUUAUCCAUGUUGUCUGACUUGGUUUAUUGAACACAUACAACAUGGCAAGAAGCUGCAAUUG